GCAAACUUGGUCAUUUAGAGGAAGUAAAAGUCGUAACAAGGUUUCCGUAGGUGAACCUGCGGAAGGAUCAUCAAUGUAGUUUUUAUACAUAGGUUGAAUGUGGUGGCGGGGAUAAAUUUUGAUCCCCCCUUGCUUUCACUUAUGGAUAAAAUUUUGGCCUAUCUAUAAUUUAUUAAACGUGAUGUUUGAUAAAAUGUGUUAAUAAUUCAGUUUAUAUUUUAAAAAAUAAAUUUAUUGAUACAACUAUCAACGAUGGAUCUCUUGGCUCUUGCAUCGAUGAAGAACGCAGC
RNAcentral lists this unclassified non-coding RNA (290 nucleotides) under uncultured fungus. Its description in RNAcentral is "partial contains small subunit ribosomal RNA, internal transcribed spacer 1, and 5.8S ribosomal RNA". The stretch from base 1 to 73 matches the Rfam family "Eukaryotic small subunit ribosomal RNA", at positions 1759 to 1831 of the family's 1831-position model. Lineage: Eukaryota; Fungi. The record is from RNAcentral.